UCCAAACACAGCCACAUUGGGGGUUGGGAUUCAACAUACUAAUUUAAAGGGAGACACAUUCAGACAUAACAGAUGGCACAGAGAAAGCCUUAAGAGAAAACAUUUCAGGAAGCAGAGAGUAGACUGUUUUAGUUGUUACUUUUAUGUAGCAGACUGAGGACUGCCUAUUGGGUUGGGCAACAUGUAGGUAGUUGAUGACUUUGAUGCAAUCAGUUUCAAUCAGUGGUAAGAGAAAAAAAAAAAAAAAGCCAGACUGAAAUGAGUUGAGUAGCAAGUGGAAAUUGUACAUCAGAGAUAAUGAAUAGGCAACAUAAGAAAUAUGGCUCUGAAGAAGAGCAGUGAAACGAAUGUUCUACUUCGGCCUAGGAGAAAUUGCCUGACGGUUGAUGGAUGUGUCACACCAGUGUAAAUGCUACCUUCCUGGGAGACAUAAUAACAGCAAAGUUAAUGGAUGUUUAUCUUCAGAACUGUGGAUAUGCUACCUGGAAAAAUGAAAGGCAUUGUUGAUGACAGUUCUUUAAGUGGAGGAAGAACAAUGCAUGGCAUUGAUGCACUGACUGCUGAGUCUGGGAAGAUAUUGAAAAGUUGAGCUUUUAAGUGGGUCUUCCCCUUCCACCUGUAAGUGGAGCUACCAGAGGAAACAAAUAUUCACAAAAAGCUAAGAAGGAACUCAAGAUAAGGAAAAAACUCAUCCCGAUCAGCAGAUAAGGUCUUUACUGGCAAGCACCGGGAAGCUGGCUGCACCCUGUCUGACCUUGCAAAGGAGCUCCCUCUUUGUUCCAUGAAGAGACGUACUUUUGUGCUGUUAAGACAAGGGUGGAAUGCCCAGGAAGAAACCAUCAUAAGGCAAUGAAGAUAGGACUUUGUCCUCUGAAAUACUAUGAGAAUCAGGAGAAUGGCAAAAUGUAUCACCACCAUUGUGUGACACAUUCCUUCCUGGAAAGGUGGUGUUGAAAUUUUCAUGGACAGUCAGUCACUUUACCAUGUAGGACGGAAGCUGUGUUGUCAGAACCAUGCUUUCAACAAACUUGUGUGCUCAGAAAGAAUGAUGAGUCCCCCAAAAUAGGCAAGACACUCACAAACCCAAACAAA
Canis lupus familiaris (dog) is the source of this 1092-nucleotide long non-coding RNA. RefSeq lists it as uncharacterized. The record is from RefSeq and is a predicted model, not a curated record. NCBI's taxonomy places the organism in Eukaryota, Metazoa, Chordata, Mammalia, Carnivora, Canidae. The transcript is spliced from 4 exons.